This 292-nucleotide ribosomal RNA is filed under the name uncultured bacterium. RNAcentral describes it as "partial 16S ribosomal RNA". It matches the Rfam family "Bacterial small subunit ribosomal RNA", at positions 505 to 796 of the family's 1533-position model. The record is from RNAcentral.
GUGCCAGCAGCCGCGGUAAUACGUAGGAGGCAAGCGUUGUCCGGAGUUACUGGGCGUAAAGCGCACGCAGGCGGUCCCAUUAGUCUGUAGGGACAGGGCACGGCUCAACCGUGUCAGGCUUACGGAAACUGUGGGACUUGAGGGCUUCAGAGGGAUGGGGAAUUCCGGGUGGAGUGGUGAAAUGCGUAGAGAUCCGGAAGAACACCAAAGGCGAAGGCACCAUCCUGGGGAGUCACUGACGCUCGGGUGCGAAAGCUAGGGGAGCGAACGGGAUUAGAUACCCCCGUAGUCC